RNAcentral lists this ribosomal RNA (503 nucleotides) under Pectobacterium polaris. RNAcentral describes it as "bacterial SSU rRNA". It matches the Rfam family "Bacterial small subunit ribosomal RNA", at positions 260 to 754 of the family's 1533-position model. Lineage: Bacteria; Pseudomonadati; Pseudomonadota; Gammaproteobacteria; Enterobacterales; Pectobacteriaceae. The record is from RNAcentral.
AAGGCCCACCAAGGCAACGAUGGGUAUCCGGCCUGAGAGGGUGAACGGACACAUUGGGACUGAGAUACGGCCCAAACUCCUACGGGAGGCAGCAGCUAAGAAUCUUCCGCAAUGGACGAAAGUCUGACGGAGCGACGCCGUGUGAAUGAAGAAGGCCGAAAGGUUGUAAAAUUCUUUUGCAGAUGAAGAAUAAGAAGAAGAGGGAAUGCUUCUUUGAUGACGGUAGUCAUGCGAAUAAGCCCCGGCUAAUUACGUGCCAGCAGCCGCGGUAACACGUAAGGGGCGAGCGUUGUUCGGAAUUAUUGGGCGUAAAGGGUAUGUAGGCGGUUAGGUAAGCCUGGUGUGAAAUCUACGAGCUCAACUCGUAAACUGCAUUGGGUACUGCUUGACUUGAAUCACGGAGGGGAAACCGGAAUUCCAAGUGUAGGGGUGGAAUCUGUAGAUAUUUGGAAGAACACCGGUGGCGAAGGCGGGUUUCUGGCCGAUGAUUGACGCUGAUAUAC